GGGAGGGCAAUAUUUUCACUAAAAGAAAAAUUAUUCGUCAUAAAAGUUUUUCUGGGUUUUUGUAAAAUUGGGCGUAGGUGUUCAUACCAAUUCCAUCAAUUUACAAUCCUAAUAUUGCAAAAUUCACGAAAUCGGUUAUCUUUUGAAGUAAUAAAACCCUAACAUUUGGGUGAUAAUGUGCCUUGCGAAAUCGGAGACAUUCACGAAAUCGGUUUGUGGCAACUAGGCGCGGCAAGUAGCCAUUGCCGACGGAGUAGGUAACUGCUAGUAAAUACUGGUGAUGUCUACAUCACUGAAAGAGUACCUGAAGAAGUAUGAAACUAACGCACCAGAGGAAAAAAAGAAGAAAAGGAAGAAAACUAAAGCUGUAGCCUCAGGUGUACUUGUUGUGGACGAAGAUCCUGUGUGGCAAAAGCCAAUCAACCUUGAAAAAGAGGAUGCUAAUGAUUCACCUGAUGAAAAGCCACAAGUUGAUGAAGACAUAGAAGUUAAAAGGAUGAAGAGGUUGGAGAUGCUGAGAGCCAGGCGUUCUAACAAUGAAAUUUCUGAAGAUGGUAGUGGCUGGAUUUCAAUUUCUGAGGCUCCAAAGUGCUCAGCAUCUAUUGAUCCAAGUUCAGAUAUAUCCCCACCUCGUAACCAUAAAGCUAGGUAUGACACUCCUUCUCCGGAGGCUGGGUUGAACGGUUCAGAUUCAGGUAGAGAAGCAACAGAUCUAUCACCUCCACGAUUGCAUCGCCAACGUAAUGACAGUCCUUCACCAGGGCCAAAUGGUGCUGGUAGUGAAGGCUCCGAUCUGUCACCACCUCGACAAUGUCAUAAAUCUAACAAUUCCCCAUCAUUUGAACGCAAACUAGAGACUUUGGAUGUUAGUAAAGAAUCAGAUUUGUCACCACCUCGACAGCGACGUAGGCGCUAUGAUUCUCCCUCACCUCAGCGCAUGACUAAGGCUUCAGAUGCAGAUCAAGACAGUGACAUGUCUCCUCCACGUCGGCGAGGACAAAGUCAUGGUUCCCAUCCACCCACUUCGCAGAGAAAUCCUUCAGUUCAUGACAUAAGAAACUCUAAUUUGGAUAAUUUAUCUCUCCAGCACCCUGGUUUUCCAAAUUUAAAUGAUUCUCAAAGUUUAGAGGAUCUUUCGCCUGCGAGGAAAAGGCAAAAGGGUAUUGAUAAAAGGAGGCUCGGAGAAAAUAGUGCUCAAGAAAUGUCUACAAAAGUAGAUCUUUCUCCUCCAAGGAAAAGGAAGGAACAACCGAAAAGGGGUUUGAUUACUGGCAAAGAUGUUGGUGAAGAGAUUGCUAAAAGUAAAAAGGAUGAAUGGUUUAGAUUUAAUGAGAUGGAUCCUUCCACAAGCGGACGAGGUGUUGAACCAGUAUAUCGUUUCAAGGGAAAACGUGUAUCAAAGAGUGAGUACCUUAAGUUGACCAAGAAAGCAGAAAAGCCGAAGGAGGAGGAAAAGAAGUUGGAGUGGGGCAAGGGAUUGGCUCAAAAACGUGAAGCUGAAGCUAGGCUUCUUGAGUUGGAACUUGAGAAAGAAAAGCCCUUUGCUCGGUCCAAAGAUGAUCCUGAGCUGGAUAGAAUGAUGAAGGAUAGACUUAGGUGGGGUGAUCCCAUGGCACAUUUGGUGAAGAAAAAACAACCCGACUUGCUUCUUUCAGACUUAGGGGAGAAUGAGAAGAUGAAAGAAUCUGGGUUUAUUAUUCCCCAAGAUAUACCCAGUCACAGCUGGAUCAAGAGAGGACUCGACUAUGAACCUAACAGAUACGGAAUCAAACCUGGGAGACACUGGGAUGGGGUUGAUCGUAGUAAUGGAUACGAGAAGCAAUUGUUCAAGAGGAUGAAUGAGAAACGGGCUACUGAGCGAGAAGCUUAUCUGUGGUCUGUAUCAGAUAUGUGAAGAUCGGCAUCAAUGUCUGGGGUUGGUUCUACAUCGACAGACAGCUUGUUUGUAGCACAUUCUAUUUGGAUAAAUAAAGGAUUUCGGAACGUGAAUUUCUGCCUGUUUACUAUUUGAAACCAAUCCUUCUGUCACUGCUACUCAGUACUCACCACAAGACAUUCAGGAUUUUUUUGAUAAAGAAAUAAAGUUGGAUGAUAUGAGAAAAUCAGAGCCAAUCGGAAGAAAUGUAAUUCACGAAUUACUUGACAUUUUAGGUUAGAAAUGGGUGUAUCUUACACACAUGAACUCGUAUUUUUUUGAGGCUACGGACAUCUGUUCGAAAAGUUUUAUAAUUUUUUGUGUUCAGUGCAAAAGUUAAAUCAGCUUGUAACAAUGACAAAACUGCUGUAUAAGUCGGUUGUAAUAAGGACAAUACAACUCAAUAUGAUUAAUUGUAAUAAAUACGAAGAAACAAA
Molecule: RNA transcript, 2352 nt
Organism: Amaranthus tricolor (Joseph's coat)
Lineage: Eukaryota; Viridiplantae; Streptophyta; Magnoliopsida; Caryophyllales; Amaranthaceae
Exons: 10
Source: RefSeq, a predicted model, not a curated record